This 462-nucleotide ribosomal RNA is filed under the name Weissella confusa. RNAcentral's name for it is "bacterial SSU rRNA". It matches the Rfam family "Bacterial small subunit ribosomal RNA", at positions 338 to 795 of the family's 1533-position model. The record is from RNAcentral. Lineage: Bacteria; Bacillati; Bacillota; Bacilli; Lactobacillales; Lactobacillaceae.
CCUACGGGAGGCAGCAGUCGAGAAUCUUCGGCAAUGGGCGAAAGCCUGACCGAGCGACGCCGCGUGUGGGAUGAAGGCCCUUGGGUUGUAAACCACUGUCAGAGGGGAUGAAAUGCCAGGGAGUUAUCUCUCUGGUUUGACAUAGCCUCAGAGGAAGCACGGGCUAAGUUCGUGCCAGCAGCCGCGGUAAGACGAACUGUGCAAACGUUAUUCGGAAUCACUGGGCUUAAAGGGUGCGUAGGCGGUUUUGUAAGUAGGGUGUGAAAGCCCCCGGCUCAACCGGGGAAUUGCGCCCUAAACUGCAAGGCUGGAGUGAGGUAGGGGUGUGCGGAACUUCCAGUGGAGCGGUGAAAUGUGUUGAUAUUGGAAGGAACGCCGGUGGCGAAAGCGGCACACUGGGGCUUGUCUGACGCUGAGGCACGAAAGCCAGGGGAGCGAACGGGAUUAGAUACCCUGGUAGUC